Long non-coding RNA from Gopherus evgoodei (Goodes thornscrub tortoise), 103 nucleotides. RefSeq lists it as uncharacterized. The transcript is spliced from 3 exons. Lineage: Eukaryota; Metazoa; Chordata; Testudines; Testudinidae. The record is from RefSeq and is a predicted model, not a curated record.
CUGAAGGAACUCAAAUGUGAAAUUACAGAACCACUAACUGUGGUACGUAACCUAUCAUUUAAAUCAGCUCCUGUACCAGAUGACUGGAGGAGACCUAGUGUGA